Molecule: long non-coding RNA, 665 nt
Filed under: Anser cygnoides (Swan goose)
Lineage: Eukaryota; Metazoa; Chordata; Aves; Anseriformes; Anatidae
Description: lncRNA (ENSACDG00005009337.1)
Source: RNAcentral
AUGCCACGGUGGGUGCAUGAGCAAGUCAGCUACACCUGUGAGAGCACCAAGCAUGCUAUGGAUGCUCUGUUUGAGCACAACCUUUUGCAGAAGUUUUCUCUGAAGGUGCUUGCAAUGAGAGGUCCUCACCCUGCUCCCUGCACAAGAGGCACUGGGGCUGCUGAGCACCCCUGCACCCCUGAGGCAGCUCCAUCAAUGCAGCCAACAUCACAAAGUGCACAAAGAGACAUGCCUUGCGUGGGGGAAGAGGGGCACUGGGAAGAGGCCUUAUAAUGAUCGUCAUAAAUCUUUGAAGUUGUUGAAAGCCAGAAGGAUUUCUCCCUUCAUCAAGCUGCAGACUGUAAUGAAUGCUAUUAAGGACCUGCACUGUUCAUCUUGCAGGUAUUUAUGCCUAUUAACUGCUAGAUAAGCAUACAUUGGUCUUCUCAUCAGUAUACAGACAUGUCAUUGGGUUUACCUUUGUUGAUCUGAAGUCCCACGACUGCUGUUGCUUGCUUGAUGCCACAUUUUCUACAUCUCUUACAGCAUUUGAGGCAGAUCAUUUCCAUUUGCCAUAUUCCAAGGAUUACUGUCCCUGAGGCUUAUGACUUUUCUACAACCACAUUCAGCAGAAUGGAGUUUUAAGUGCAUAUCUCUAGUUAAAUCUAACUCAGCUUGGAUUUCAC